UACAGAGGUGGCAAGCGUUGUUCGGAAUUACUGGGCGUAAAGCGUGCGCAGGCGGCGGCUCAAGUCAGGUGUGAAAUCCCCGGGCUUAACCUGGGAAUUGCGCUUGAAACUAGGCUGCUUGAGUGUGGCAGAGGGGGGUGGAAUUCCACGUGUAGCAGUGAAAUGCGUAGAGAUGUGGAGGAACACCGAUGGCGAAGGCAGCCCCCUGGGCUAACACUGACGCUCAUGCACGAAAGCGUGGGGAGCAAACAGG
Molecule: ribosomal RNA, 253 nt
Filed under: uncultured bacterium
Lineage: Bacteria
Description: partial 16S ribosomal RNA
Rfam family: Bacterial small subunit ribosomal RNA
Source: RNAcentral